AAUCGUGGUGAAGGAACUCGGCAAAAUACCCCCGUAACUUCGGGAUAAGGGGGACCUGAUACGUGACCAGCCUUGCGUUGUGAGCGUUGAGGGUCGCAGAGACCAGGCCCAAGCGACUGUUUACUAAAAACACAGGUCCGUGCCAACUCGUAAGAGGAUGUAUACGGACUGACUCCUGCCCGGUGCUGGAAGGUUAAGGGGAACUGUCAGCCGCAUUUUGUGUGGUGAAGCGGUGAACUUAAGCCCCAGUAAACGGCGGUGGUAACUAUAACCAUCCUAAGGUAGCGAAAUUCCUUGUCGGGUAAGUUCCGACCUGCACGAAUGGAGUAACGAUUUGGGCGCUGUCUCCACCACGAACCCGGUGAAAUUGCAUUACGAGUAAAGAUGCUCGUUACGCGCAGCAGGACGGAAAGACCCCGGGACCUUUACUACAGUUUGGUAUUGGUGAUCGGUGUGACUUGUGUAGGAUAGGUGGGAGACUUUGAAACCGGGACGCCAGUUCCGGUGGAGUCGUCGUUGAAAUACCACUCUGGUCAUUCUGGUUAUCUAACCUAGGACCGUUAUCCGGUUCAGGGACAGUGCCUGAUGGGUAGUUUGACUGGGGCGGUCGCCUCCUAAAAGGUAACGGAGGCGCCCAAAGGUUCCCUCAGCCUGGUUGGCAAUCAGGUGUUGAGUGUAAGUGCACAAGGGAGCUUGACUGUGAGAGUGGCGACUCGAGCAGGGACGAAAGUCGGGACUAGUGAUCCGGCAGUGGCUUGUGGAAGCGCUGUCGCUCAACGGAUAAAAGGUACCUCGGGGAUAACAGGCUGAUCUUGCCCAAGAGUCCAUAUCGACGGCAUGGUUUGGCACCUCGAUGUCGGCUCGUCGCAUCCUGGGGCUGGAGUAGGUCCCAAGGGUUGGGCUGUUCGCCCAUUAAAGCGGCACGCGAGCUGGGUUUAGAACGUCGUGAGACAGUUCGGUCCCUAUCCGCUGCGCGCGUAGGAGUCUUGAGAAGGGCUGUCCUUAGUACGAGAGGACCGGGACGGACCAACCUCUGGUGUGCCAGUUGUUCCGCCAGGAGCACGGCUGGUUGGCUACGUUGGGAAGUGAUAACCGCUGAAAGCAUCUAAGCGGGAAGCACGCUUCAAGAUGAGGACUCCCACACCGUCAAGGUGGUAAGGCCCCCCGCAGACCACGGGGUUGAUAGGUCGGACGUGGAAGCACAGUAAUGUGUGAAGCUGACCGAUACUAAUAGGCCGAGGGCUUGCCACA
This 1251-nucleotide ribosomal RNA is filed under the name human oral metagenome. Its description in RNAcentral is "bacterial LSU rRNA". It matches the Rfam family "Bacterial large subunit ribosomal RNA", at positions 1697 to 2925 of the family's 2925-position model. The record is from RNAcentral.